GGCAUUUCACUAUCAGCACACUGAUUGAGUUCCCCCGAUAUUUUCAUCCAGGAGAAGGAAGAGAAAAACAGAAACACUGUGUGUGUGUGUUUGUGUGUGUGCAUACCAGGGUACUAGUAAGUUUAAAACCUGGAACUUGGCACAGAUUGCAUGAAGUUCUUCAUCUUUGAGGUGUCACUAUGGCACAGUGUUUAAGACUCUCGCCUCACAAGGGAAAGGCUCCUGGUUCAAAUCCCAGCUGAGGCCUCUCCGUGUCCUCCCACAGUCUAAAGACAUGCAUGUAAGGCCAUCUAGGAGGCAUCCUGGUCAGAUAAACCAGCUCUACUGGCUCCUUUUGAGGUGGAGGAGCAGCAGCUUGACUCACACCAAGCACCUCAGUCUAGCUCUAAGGCUGAGCCUCAGCACCCUUCGGUGGAAGCUUCAGUCCCACCAUCUGUAUCUGUGGUCUUCUGGUACUUCUCAGAGCUCAUGACCACAGCCACUCGACUGCAAACUGCCCCAGUGUGAGGUCAAGGUCACUGCUAGAUGAAGCCCACGCCUCCACCCCCCAGCUGUGCCAAGAAACUCUGCUUUCUGAAGUGAAAGAAGCCAUGCACAAAUAGAUAUCCAGGAUUGCAUUUCUUGCUUUCAUGCGUUGGUAUAAACAAACAAGCUAUAGCUUGAGAUUUGUACUUUUUGGUGCUGGUUGGCACAUUUGUUGCCCAUUACAGCCAGGCCAGCUCUUUCCAGUGUGAGUUUUGGUAGCCAGCUGGAAGCAGUGCUUUCAUAUACAGAUAUAAUAUUGACAACAAGUCUUGCAAAGAAUUCAAAUAAGUCCAUAUAAAUAUUUCACAAAAUGACAAAGUAUCCCUUCAAAACUGCAUAACUAUAUAAUAAUUGAGGAAAUGUUAUGUUUUCGCACAGUAAUUGCUACAUGCACUGCAGACCAUGUCCGUUGGGGUUUAUGAGAUAUAUGAGAAUAA
This is a long non-coding RNA of Oreochromis niloticus (Nile tilapia), 962 nucleotides long. RefSeq lists it as uncharacterized. NCBI's taxonomy places the organism in Eukaryota, Metazoa, Chordata, Actinopteri, Cichliformes, Cichlidae. The record is from RefSeq and is a predicted model, not a curated record. The transcript is spliced from 3 exons.